This 428-nucleotide ribosomal RNA is filed under the name Gemmatimonadota bacterium. RNAcentral describes it as "Gemmatimonadetes bacterium partial 16S ribosomal RNA". It matches the Rfam family "Bacterial small subunit ribosomal RNA", at positions 355 to 775 of the family's 1533-position model. The record is from RNAcentral. Lineage: Bacteria; Pseudomonadati; Gemmatimonadota.
UAGGGAAUCUUCGGCAAUGGACGAAAGUCUGACCGAGCAACGCCGCGUGAGUGAAGAAGGUUUUCGGAUCGUAAAACUCUGUUGUUAGAGAAGAACAAGGACGUUAGUAACUGAACGUCCCCUGACGGUAUCUAACCAGAAAGCCACGGCUAACUACGUGCCAGCAGCCGCGGUAAUACGUAGGUGGCAAGCGUUGUCCGGAUUUAUUGGGCGUAAAGCGAGCGCAGGCGGUUUCUUAAGUCUGAUGUGAAAGCCCCCGGCUCAACCGGGGAGGGUCAUUGGAAACUGGGAGACUUGAGGGCAGAAGAGGAGAGUGGAAUUCCAUGUGUAGCGGUGAAAUGCGUAGAUAUAUGGGGGAACACCAGUGGCGAAGGCGGCUCUCUGGUCUGUAACUGACGCUGAGGCGCGAAAGCGUGGGGAGCAAACAG